GUCUCUGUGGCUCAGUCGGUAGAGCGUUGGUCUCAUAUCAUGUACAUAUGACUCUAGAUCACCUAGGGACAUCCAAAGGUCGCAAGUUCGAGCCUUGCCAGGGACA
Molecule: transfer RNA, 106 nt
Filed under: Colletotrichum orchidophilum
Lineage: Eukaryota; Fungi; Ascomycota; Sordariomycetes; Glomerellales; Glomerellaceae
Rfam family: tRNA
About the family: Transfer RNA (tRNA) molecules are approximately 80 nucleotides in length. Their secondary structure includes four short double-helical elements and three loops (D, anti-codon, and T loops).
Source: Rfam by way of RNAcentral